GAUGAACGCUGGCGGCGUGCCUAAUACAUGCAAGUCGAGCGAACGGACGAGAAGCUUGCUUCUCUGAUGUUAGCGGCGGACGGGUGAGUAACACGUGGAUAACCUACCUAUAUGACUGGGAUAACUUCGGGAAACCGGAGCUAAUACCGGAUAAUCUUUUGAACCGCAUGGUUCAAAAGUGAAAGACGGUCUUGCUGUCACUUAUAGAUGGAUCCGCGCUGCAUUAGCUAGUUGGUAAGGUAACGGCUUACCAAGGCAACGAUGGAUAGCCGACCUGAGAGGGUGAGCGGCCACACGGGAACUGAGACACGGCCAAGACUCCUACGGGAGGCAGCAGUAGGGAACCUUCCGCAAUGGGCGAAAGCCUGACGGAGCAAGGCCGCGGGAGUGAUGAAGGUCUUCGGAUCGUAAAACUCUGUUAUUGGGGAAGAACAUAUGUGUAAGUAACUGUGCACAUCUUGACGGUACCUAAUCAGAAAGCCACGGCUAACUACGUG
Molecule: ribosomal RNA, 497 nt
Filed under: uncultured bacterium
Lineage: Bacteria
Description: partial 16S ribosomal RNA
Rfam family: Bacterial small subunit ribosomal RNA
Source: RNAcentral